AUGGCUGGAUGCGUGGCACUGGCGGUGGUCCUGCUGUGCGCGGCGGCCGCCAUGGCCGCGGCACAGUCGGCGUCCAACGUGCGCGCCACCUACAACUUCUACAACCCGGAGAAGAUCAACUGGGACCUCAACACCGCCAGCGCCUACUGCGCCACAUGGGACGCCGGCAUGUCCUUGGCCUGGCGCUCCAAGUAUGGCUGGACUGCCUUUUGCGGGCCCGCUGGGCCCACUGGCCAGGCAUCCUGCGGCAAGUGCCUCCAGGUGACGAACACGGCUACCGGCGCACAGAUUACGGUGAGGAUCGUUGACCAGUGCAGCAACGGUGGCCUGGACCUGGACUAUGACACAGUGUUCAGCAAGAUCGACACCAACGGGGUGGGUAUGCAGCAGGGCCACCUCACCGUCAACUACCAGUUCGUCGACUGUGGCGAUAACUAA
RNAcentral lists this ribosomal RNA (438 nucleotides) under Triticum aestivum (bread wheat). RNAcentral describes it as "partial small subunit ribosomal RNA". Lineage: Eukaryota; Viridiplantae; Streptophyta; Magnoliopsida; Poales; Poaceae. The record is from RNAcentral.